Molecule: ribosomal RNA, 381 nt
Filed under: uncultured eukaryote
Lineage: Eukaryota
Description: partial 18S ribosomal RNA
Rfam family: Eukaryotic small subunit ribosomal RNA
Source: RNAcentral
CAAUAGCGUAUAUUAAAGUUGUUGCGGUAAAAAAGCUCGUAGUUGGAUUUCUACCGAAGAUAGCCGGUCGGGUCUUCGACCUUGUAUCUGGUUUUGUCUUUGGUAUCCUCAUAGGGAACGUUUCUGCGCUUUAUUGCGUGGUGCGGUAUCUAUGACUUUUACUUUGAGGAAAUUAGAGUGUUCACGGCAGGCAAACGCCUUGAAUAUAUUAGCAUGGAAUAAUAACAUAGGAUCUUCGUCCUAUUUUGUUGGUUUCUAGGGCUAAGAUAAUGAUUAAUAGGGAUAAUUGGGGGCAUCUGUAUCAACGCGUCAGAGGUGGAAUUCUUGGAUUGCGUUACGACAAACUACUGCGAAAGCAUUUGCCAAGGAUGUUUUCAUUGA